GCCUUCUUAGCUCAGUGGUAGAGCGUUGGUCUCGUAAACAUCUCUUAGUAAACCAAAGGCCGAGAGUUCAAUCCUCUCAGGAGGCA
This 86-nucleotide transfer RNA is filed under the name Daphnia magna. It matches the Rfam family "tRNA". Rfam says of the family: Transfer RNA (tRNA) molecules are approximately 80 nucleotides in length. The record is from Rfam by way of RNAcentral. Lineage: Eukaryota; Metazoa; Arthropoda; Branchiopoda; Diplostraca; Daphniidae.